UUUGAAGGUGGAACCAGGGAUUCCUCAAUUGGCCAAUCACUUGAGAGAGUAGAAGGAGCUGUCACCCCAUCAAACCAAUCAGAAGCCAGGUGUUGGUUCCCACCCUAUGACAUACCACCUCCAAUUGGCCAGUAGAAGUAGAGAGACAGGCUAGGAGGCGGGGCCUGCCUGGCCGCCAUGGUAAUCCCCUGUGGUUGGUGAUCAAGGAAGAGCAUAGUGCCAGACCUAGGUCCAGUCACUCCACGCUUGCAGAGUCCAAUUAACAAGAGCAAGUUCUGGUAGAAAGAAGGUGACUUUAUUCCAGAGCUCAGGUGUUUGAACUGAUGUCUGAUGAGGAUGAAUCCAGCGACUACCUCUGCCUGUCCAUCCUGGGCCUCUUCUGUUGCCUUCCCCUAGCCAUCCCAGCCGUGAUCUUUUCUUGCCUGACAAAGAACUACAAUAAAUCCAGUGACUAUGAGCUGGCAGCCAAGACCUCCAAACAAGCCUACUACUGGGCCAUCGCGAGCAUCACUGUGGGAAUCUUAGGUACCAUCUUGUACACCUACCUGAUAUACUUACUUAGAUUGUAAACUGCUUCCCAGCUCUUGAACAAACCACCAAAUAUACACCACAGUGCAAUUUACCUUGGCUCUAAGCAUCUACUUGGGCUGAAUGGAACACCUGCUCCUCAAUGUCUGGAGUGCCAAGCUAUCUAAGAUUAGAAAAACAAAAUGCAAAG
RNAcentral lists this long non-coding RNA (718 nucleotides) under Homo sapiens (human). RNAcentral describes it as "HSALNT0397641". Lineage: Eukaryota; Metazoa; Chordata; Mammalia; Primates; Hominidae. The record is from RNAcentral.